AUUGAACGCUGGCGGCAUGCUUUACACAUGCAAGUCGAACGGUAACAGGCCUCCGGGUGCUGACGAGUGGCGAACGGGUGAGUAAUGCAUCGGAACGUGCCCAAUCGUGGGGGAUAACGUAGCGAAAGUUACGCUAAUACCGCAUAAGCCCUGAGGGGGAAAGCAGGGGAUCGCAAGACCUUGCGCGAAUGGAGCGGCCGAUGUCAGAUUAGCUAGUUGGUGGGGUAAAGGCCUACCAAGGCGACGAUCUGUAGCGGGUCUGAGAGGAUGAUCCGCCACACUGGGACUGAGACACGGCCCAGACUCCUACGGGAGGCAGCAGUGGGGAAUUUUGGACAAUGGGCGCAAGCCUGAUCCAGCCAUGCCGCGUGCGGGACGAAGGCC
Molecule: ribosomal RNA, 384 nt
Filed under: uncultured bacterium
Lineage: Bacteria
Description: bacterial SSU rRNA
Rfam family: Bacterial small subunit ribosomal RNA
Source: RNAcentral